This 472-nucleotide ribosomal RNA is filed under the name uncultured organism. RNAcentral's name for it is "partial 16S ribosomal RNA". It matches the Rfam family "Bacterial small subunit ribosomal RNA", at positions 334 to 797 of the family's 1533-position model. The record is from RNAcentral.
CACUCCUGCGGGAGGCAGCAGUGGGGAAUUUUGGACAAUGGGCGAAAGCCUGAUCCAGCAAUGCCGCGUGAGUGAAGAAGGCCUUCGGGUUGUAAAGCUCUUUUGUCAGGGAAGAAACGGUGAAAGCUAAUAUCUUUUGCUAAUGACGGUACCUGAAGAAUAAGCACCGGCUAACUACGUGCCAGCAGCCGCGGUAAUACGUAGGGUGCAAGCGUUAAUCGGAAUUACUGGGCGUAAAGCGUGCGCAGGCGGUUUUGUAAGUCUGAUGUGAAAUCCCCGGGCUCAACCUGGGAAUUGCAUUGGAGACUGCAAGGCUAGAAUCUGGCAGAGGGGGGUAGAAUUCCACGUGUAGCAGUGAAAUGCGUAGAUAUGUGGAGGAACACCGAUGGCGAAGGCAGCCCCCUGGGUCAAGAUUGACGCUCAUGCACGAAAGCGUGGGGAGCAAACAGGAUUAGAAACCCUUGUAGUCCCA